This 397-nucleotide ribosomal RNA is filed under the name uncultured bacterium. RNAcentral's name for it is "partial 16S ribosomal RNA". It matches the Rfam family "Bacterial small subunit ribosomal RNA", at positions 523 to 918 of the family's 1533-position model. The record is from RNAcentral.
AUACGGAGGAUCCGAGCGUUAUCCGGAUUUAUUGGGCGUAAAGCGAGCGCAGGCGGUUUCUUAAGUCUGAUGUGAAAGCCCCCGGCUCAACCGGGGAGGGUCAUUUGAAACUGGGAGACUUGAGUGCAGAAGAGGAGAGUGGAAUUCCAUGUGUAUCGGUGAAAUGCGUAGAUAUAUGGAGGAACACCAGUGGCGAAGGCGGCUCUCUGGUCUGUAACUGACGCUGAGGCUCGAAAGCGUGGGGAGCGAACAGGAUUAGAUACCCUGGUAGUCCACGCCGUAAACGAUGAGUGCUAAGUGUUGGAGGGUUUCCGCCCUUCAGUGCUGCAGCAAACGCAUUAAGCACUCCGCCUGGGGAGUACGACCGCAAGGUUGAAACUCAAAGGAAUUGACGGGG